GACGAACGCUGGCGGCGUGCUUAACACAUGCAAGUCGAACGGAAAGGCCCUGCUUUUGUGGGGUGCUCGAGUGGCGAACGGGUGAGUAACACGUGAGUAACCUGCCCUUGACUUUGGGAUAACUUCAGGAAACUGGGGCUAAUACCGGAUAGGAGCUCCUGCUGCAUGGUGGGGGUUGGAAAGUUUCGGCGGUUGGGGAUGGACUCGCGGCUUAUCAGCUUGUUGGUGGGGUAGUGGCUUACCAAGGCUUUGACGGGUAGCCGGCCUGAGAGGGUGACCGGCCACAUUGGGACUGAGAUACGGCCCAGACUCCUACGGGAGGCAGCAGUGGGGAAUAUUGGACAAUGGGCGGAAGCCUGAUGCAGCAACGCCGCGUGCGGGAUGACGGCCUUCGGGUUGUAAACCGCUUUCGCCUGUGACGAAGCGUGAGUGACGGUAAUGGGUAAAGAAGCACGGGCUAACUACGUG
This 468-nucleotide ribosomal RNA is filed under the name uncultured bacterium. Its description in RNAcentral is "partial 16S ribosomal RNA". It matches the Rfam family "Bacterial small subunit ribosomal RNA", at positions 28 to 507 of the family's 1533-position model. The record is from RNAcentral.